Molecule: transfer RNA, 74 nt
Filed under: Emiliania huxleyi
Lineage: Eukaryota; Haptophyta; Isochrysidales; Noelaerhabdaceae
Also listed under: 4 other names
Description: tRNA-Met
Rfam family: tRNA
About the family: Transfer RNA (tRNA) molecules are approximately 80 nucleotides in length. Their secondary structure includes four short double-helical elements and three loops (D, anti-codon, and T loops). Further hydrogen bonds mediate the characteristic L-shaped molecular structure. tRNAs have two regions of fundamental functional importance: the anti-codon, which is responsible for specific mRNA codon recognition, and the 3' end, to which the tRNAs corresponding amino acid is attached (by aminoacyl-tRNA synthetases). tRNAs cope with the degeneracy of the genetic code in two manners: having more than one tRNA (with a specific anti-codon) for a particular amino acid; and 'wobble' base-pairing, i.e. permitting non-standard base-pairing at the 3rd anti-codon position.
Source: RNAcentral
UGCAAUAAAGAGCAAUUAGGUCGUUCGUCAGGUUCAUCUUCUGAAGGUUAAAGGUUCAAGUCCUUUUGUUGCAA